This is an RNA transcript of Drosophila albomicans, 2678 nucleotides long. It is a transcript of the gene named sal-like protein 3, with no coding region annotated. The transcript has 5 exons. Lineage: Eukaryota; Metazoa; Arthropoda; Insecta; Diptera; Drosophilidae. The record is from RefSeq and is a predicted model, not a curated record.
GUCAGAUGAAGAAUCUCGACAAAAACGCCCAUGAACGUUGCCCCAACUACCGAAGCGAUUGAAAAUGAAGUGUGCACAAAAAUGAGGUUUUCUAUCCUGCAAUAAAAACUAACCGCGAUCGGAGCAGGGUAACCCCUACUUCUCAGCACGUACAUAUGUAUGUCUGUGUGCACACAUAUACAGGCACUUAUGUAAGUGAUUGCGCUUGUGUUGGGAGGUAUAUAAGCACCUAAACAGCAUGACGAGGCUUCUCAGUUCGUUGUGAAACUCUGAGACGAGCACAACGCGAGAGAUGCGCCUGAUCGAAGAAUUUUAAUAGCACAGAACAAAUUUAGAACAUGGAGGGAAAUUUGUUUAAGACGAUGUUUGGACUGCCCACGAGUCCAGAGUCCAGUGAGGAUUACAAUACAGAUACUAGUGAUGAUGAUGUGGAAUUUGUUGGAACCUAUUUAAUGGAAGCCAUGACAGAUCAAGAAAACGUACCGAAUAUAACCUCAAAUUUAGGAAAAAUGGCGUCUGUAUUGACAACUCCGCCAAUGUCACCACAGGACAUUCACAACCUGCAACCCAGAGAUAUGCCAUCGCUUACGGCCAUGUUAUCGAACAAUUAUUCUGGCUAUACUCCAACUGGAUACAUUGUGCACAUUCCCUGCUUCCUGUGCAAGGAACCGUUUAACAACAUUAACAGUCUGAAGGAGCACCUCACGAUGCAUGCUAAGCAAUUGAAUGGAACAAUAAUAAAUAAUCCCACACCAACUGCACAAUCAAUGCUGCCCACUGAUCUGUUCAGUGGAGCACCGUUAAUAAGCACGAGCACAGAACAUGCAAUUCCGCUUGGUGCACCAACUCCCGUUCCGCCUACAAGUGUCACAAUGCCACCAACGGAGCCAACGGAGACUCUCACAUGUGAAAUAUGCGGUAGGGUGCUGAGAUCGAUACUGGGACUGACGCUCCAUGUGCGGAGUCACUACAAUCCGGACCGACAGAAGUAUGUGGCAAAGCCAUUCAAGUGCCAUCUGUGCAGAAAAUCCUACAGACGUCAAUCCAAUUUGCAGAAGCAUAUGACUUGCAGACAUGGCAUGCGUCCCAUCACAGAAGCACUACCUCCACUUCCACGUCCUACUGCAGAUCCAGUUCCCACCUUAGCUUCCGAUGCGGCUUCAGCUACAAUCCCAACUGCGGCUGCACCUGCAGCUCCCACAGCCGCAGCAGAACCUCCAGCGGUUAGGCAAACAGUUCCACGUCCAAUUCAGCCACCGCCAGAUGAUGAGCUGAAUAUCAAGCCGAGCAAAACAAUCAUUUGGAGCACCAAACUGCUAAAUGCCGUCGCCGCUGCCAAUUAUAGUCCUGCCGUGGAAUCCGCCUCCAAGUACAUCGCACCCACGGAGGAGAGCAGUCAACCGUCGAUCUUUAGGCCACCGCCAAAGCAGAAAUAUGCAUUACGUUCCCCCUUCUGCAAUCCAAAUCUGUGGGCGGACUAUGAUAAUCACAUCCCAUAAUAAUCUCGACUUAAAUACUUGUGCACUAUAUGUGCAUGAUGAUUUGCAUUAAGUCGAACGAGGCUAUAUUAAAUAUGUGCUCAUUGCAAUUGCGAUGACAAGCUGUCGUGGGAAGUUGAAUUCAAUGACGAUUAUAGGGCUCCAUCGUCAGAGGCAAUGAAACGACAUUAAAAUCCGAUUCAAUAUCGCCCCAUAUUUCUCCUGCAAUCGAGUAUGCGAGCGCUUUCAAAGAAGCUUUUUUUUUUGUGCUGAUAAAGCAAAAAAUCAUAUAUGUAUAUGAAAUCAGAAACCCGAGAGACUGUUCAUCGUUUCUUUCACUCGAAAUAAUAAACAAUAAAUGUGAUUACGCUUACCAGUAUAAAGCAUGUCAGCAAAAUGUGGAUGUAGUUGAGAACUGAAUUCAAAAUGGAAAACAGCGAUAUUGACGUUACUACUUAUUCCGAAAAUACCUUAAAAUGAACCUAAAUGGAGAAUAUUUUAUCUCUGAUGGACACGCUAAUUUAACUACUCCACUUAAAAUGAAAAGCAACGAUAAUAGUGAGGAAUGCGAUGGUUUUGCAAUGAAUUGUUUUCUCUGCCCGCGAAUAUUUACGGACAUCGAUGAGCUGCAGGAGCAUUUAUCUGUGCAUUCCUUGGAACCCCCAAGUCAAAACACUACGACGCAACAGUAUUUCAACUGCAAUGUUUGCGAACGGAGUCUGCGCUCUGAAAAAGAACUAAAUAAACAUUAUAAAUACUAUCACGAAUCAAAUAUGUUAAGGAAAGCCAAUGAGGCAAACCAGCGCUUCGAAUGCAAAUACUGCGAAAAUAUUUACUUAUCGCAAAAAAAUCUCCAACUUCAUAUGGACUCACAUCAUGGCACAAAAAUAGAGAGAGCAAAGAGAGCAAAACACUCCGACAAACUUUAUGUAGCAAUUCAGCUAGUAGAGCGAAAACAAAAAUAUCCACCUCGAUCGCCAUAUUUUAAUCCAAAUCUCUGGAUUAAUCCCAAUGAUCAUGUUUAAAUCCAUAGUUUGGGUAAAAUGCAAUUGUUUCCUUGAUUCUAAUUCGACAUACAAUUAAAUAAUUAUUAUAUAAUUUUAAUCUAAAAAAAAAUAAAUGAAAAACAAAGUGAUGCUUUAUUUAAAAUUUUAUUUCGCUUUCUAAUAUGUAUAUAUAAGAUUUAUGGUUUAUAGUACA